GCUCCUGUCGUCCAUGGGUAAGACACCGGUCUUUCAAGCCGGGAAACGGGGUUCGAGUCCCCGCAGGAGCACCC
RNAcentral lists this transfer RNA (74 nucleotides) under Streptomyces marianii. RNAcentral describes it as "Streptomyces sp. ICN19 tRNA-Glu". It matches the Rfam family "tRNA". Rfam says of the family: Transfer RNA (tRNA) molecules are approximately 80 nucleotides in length. Their secondary structure includes four short double-helical elements and three loops (D, anti-codon, and T loops). Lineage: Bacteria; Bacillati; Actinomycetota; Actinomycetes; Kitasatosporales; Streptomycetaceae. The record is from RNAcentral.